This 486-nucleotide ribosomal RNA is filed under the name uncultured bacterium. RNAcentral describes it as "bacterial SSU rRNA". It matches the Rfam family "Bacterial small subunit ribosomal RNA", at positions 8 to 526 of the family's 1533-position model. The record is from RNAcentral.
AGAGUUUGAUCAUGGCUCAGAAUCAACGCUGGCGGCGCGCCUAACACAUGCAAGUCGAACGAGAAAGUGGAGCAAUCCAUGAGUAAAGUGGCGUACGGGUGAGUAACACGUGGGGAAUCUACCUCUUUGUGGGGAAUAACUUUGGGAAACCGAAGCUAAUACCGCAUAAGCCUGAGAAGGGAAAGCAGCAAUGCGCAGGGAGAGGACCCCGCGGCCGAUUAGCUAGUUGGUGAGGUAAAGGCUCACCAAGGCAAAGAUCGGUAGCCGGCCUGAGAGGGCACACGGCCACACUGGCACUGAAACACGGGCCAGACUCCUACGGGAGGCAGCAGUGGGGAAUCUUGCACAAUGGGGGAAACCCUGAUGCAGCGACGCCGCGUGAGCGAUGAAGCCCUUCGGGGCGUAAAGCUCUUUCGGCCGGAACGAUAAUGACGGUACCGGAAGAAGAAGCUGCGGCUAACUACGUGCCAGCAGCCGCGGUAAUAC